ACUCAAUCGCCAUUGCCUCCUCCACGCAGGCCCACUCACCACGUUUCCUCUCUCUACCUGACUCAUUCCUACCUGCUGUUGCUUAGGAUGAGUAGGUAUGGAUUAGUGACGCGCUCGAACCUGUUCAGCCCGCAUAGAGAGAUUCCAGCAAUCAAUGCGGCAGCAUGCGGGAUGCUCGUAUACUGUAAAAUGUAGGUUAUUGCGAAAUUGCAGCAACCCUGGCAUCCAUGAGGUAAGCCUGGCCGGAAGUUGAGGCGGUUGAAGAAAGAGACGUGAAAAUUCAUAUAUUUCGUACAUUGUCUCCGUUUAGCUUGCCUUUUUAGUUCAUCUAAAUUUCGUUUAAAAGCAAAAGGCGAAAGGCAGCAGGAUAAAAGGCAAACGCAACUGAAAAGAUCACAAAAGAAGCAAAACAUGUAUUACAUUGUUCCUUUUAUCCCGUUGCCGUUUCAGUUUUCUCUGUGUCCGUCGUUUUGCUGGGGGGCGAGCCAGUACAACAUUGUCUUUGGUGAAGGGCGUACUCUACACAUUUGCUCAUUUGUACUGCAAUGUGCUUAAUGUGCACAACGACCUCCCUCGUCGAAAAUACAUAGCCGCAACUUUGCUCUACGUCCCAUAUGAUUCUUUCAAACGAUGGNNNNNNNNNNNNNNNNNNNNNNNNNNNNNNNNNNNNNNNNNNNNNNNNNNNNNNNNNNNNNNNNNNNNNNNNNNNNNNNNNNNNNNNNNNNNNNNNNNNNNNNNNNNNNNNNNNNNNNNNNNNNNNNNNNNNNNNNNNNNNNNNNNNNNNNNNNNNNNNNNNNNNNNNNNNNNNNNNNNNNNNNNNNNNNNNNNUGGGCUUCCUUAUGCUUCACAUUCAUAUUUCUUGAAUGAUUGCAUCUAUACAACAAUUUUAAUUGUCAUCACUCUCUCAUACGGGAGCCUCUCAAGCGGGAGCCUUGUCUAUGUGUGUGUUUGUUUUGCUGUACAGUAAUUUUUGGAUAACAUAGAUAGAGGUUACAAGAUACAGAUGUAGCAAGUCCUUUAUAACUGUUUGGACCGAGGAAGGUUGGUGAGCACAUUAGAUAUUCAUAUGUUGACUUUGUUUUUAAGUCCUAGAAUUUGCAGCGUACAAUCAGCCUCAAUUACCGUUUCUUCAAAGAGGUUUGACCACAUAUGUAUGCUCUGCUCCACCUUGCCCUCUACAAUGAAAAAUAUGGUGCUAAGCAGAUGGGUUAACACCUAUAGUAAAGACGACCUAGGCUAGAGCCAUGGCCACUGUCAUAGCCUCACAUACGAUAUGCAACGUGCGGAAGAAACAAAACCAACAUUUUCGAUGGGCUUCCUUAUGCUUUGGAAUCACUUCAUGUUAUAAGAAACAAAACCGAGACUGAAUUGAAGCUAUCGCAUACUUAUAUCAUUUAGAAAAUAAGACUCGUCUCUUUUAGUUAGAUGCAGAUUCAUUGAUUUGAGGAUUUAUCAUGUUGGGAUUUUUUUUCUAUACGUGAGAGUAUGUUUGUUUUAUUUUGGAGUCAAUUACAAGCCUGCAGGAGACAAAAACGAAAACAAAGGCUACAAAGAAGAAAAGAUGAGUAUGUCACUCUCUCAAUGCAGACAAGGGAAACACGUCAUCUACAAUCUUGAAGGCCACCUAUGACCAUUAGGUUCAUAAGGUGGUUUUUUUUUUGAAGGCAAAUUGUUGGGCUUUCAAACGAUGGGCUUCCAAAACAUUCUUUCAAACGAUGGGCUUCCUUAUGCUUUGGAAUCACUUCAUGCUAUUUCUCGUUGCAACAUUUUCUUAACAUAACCAACAAUUUGCUUUUUUCUGUUUGUCAUCUUCAGACCAACAGUUUUAAUGAACCCACACUCGCACACCUAAAUCAUAUUUGGGGAGACCAAGAUCAAGAGUAACUGAGCACUCAAUUGCUAACAGAAAGUCAUGGGGUUGUUCGUAGUGCUAAGCCCGAUCAGUGUCAUCAUCAAAUGUGAGCCAUCCACCGCAACAACUCAGCAUGACGAGGAGUCGGGGAAGAUUCAUAAGACGAGCUUUGACAAGACGGAUGUCAGCCUCACGGUGAUGCAAGUGUCAGUGAUGUUCUAAGCCCUUAAAUUCUCUGCAUGCUUCACAUUACCACAUUGUCAGUGUCAUUAUAAUCUUUGUGACCUAGUCCAUUCGGAAAAAACGAACACGAUGGUUCUCAACAAUGUCUUCAUAACGCUAGACCGGCUUAUGGACUAAUGUCGAGACUUGGUCCCAUCUUAGUUGGCACAGCACGAGGCCCAAGGCUUAGGCAUGGCCCAUGGCACAAGACACGGUCCGAUGGCUGGUGUGCCAGGGCAAGCCUGGCCCGAGGUCACAUGUCGUGUUGUGCAAUGUAAUUGGGCGGAUGGGCAGACCGGCGCAACAUAACAUGUGCACGGCCGGGGAAAAAUGGCCCACAAGCAUGCAAAGGCCUCAUGGAAUCAAAACUAACAAAGGGAGGCCCUCAAAAAACAAAAUAAAAAUGAAUAGAGUAGCUGAGUUACUUUAUAGAUUCCACUACGGACUACAUACGGAUGCAUAUAGAAAUACUUUAGAAUGUGGAUUCACUUAUUUUUUCCGUAUAUAGACCCCUGUAGAACUCCAAAAAGAUUUAUAUUUAGGAACAUAGAGAGUAUAUGUGUAUGAGCCUUUCCAUCGAAGCUAACCCUCACUCUCGGGCAGCUACAACAUACGCGCUUAGCAUGUACCCUAUGGUCAAAUCCCCAACUAUUAUGGCUAAUAUCCCAGCAGUUUAUUUUGGAACUAGCAAAUGACCCCAUGCCUUGCAACUGGAGAAACAGCCUAUGGUCAAAUCCCCAACUAUUAUGGCUAAUAUCCCAGCAGUUUAUUUUGGAACUAGCAAAUGACCCCAUGCCUUGCAACUGGAGAAACAGAUUCUUGCACGCUCCUAAUGGAGUAAUGGUACAUCCAUGUUGUCACAUCAAAUCUUCGCUACUAUCUUGAAUAGUGGUCCUGAUAGUCACCUAUUCAACUUGAAGCAUGCAUCGUUCGGAGCAAUCAACGAUUAUCUGAAGUAGAUGACAAGGAACAAAUAGUCGAUGUGUUCGACAGAUGUGGAACCGGGGUACAACCAUCUCCCUUUGAUGAUGACAAGUGGUUCAAUUCCGCGCCUUAAUUGAGUACUCGAACUGAAGGCAUGGUGAGUCAAAGUAUUUUUUUUCAUAUAGGUAGUGUUAGGUAUAUAUUUAUACUAAAUGUUAUUGUAUUAAAUUAUAUUUAGAUCAUUUAUAUGGAUCUUUGAUCAUCUAUGUGAAGUAAUUAUAAAUAAGAAAAUGUGUACUAUUUGCUUUAUAAGAUAUGCAAUUUCUCGGUCGAAACACAUGAGCUAUCAACGUACAGAAUGUUCCAUGUCGCGGUGUAAGACAAUAUAGUACUAUACCAAACGCUAUUUCUCGGUCGAAACACAUGAGCUAUCAACGUACAGGAAGCAUGUAAGAGAGAACGGUGAUGGAUAUCAAGUCGGCGGACUUGGAUGGGACAGCUUCUGUUAUGACUACGAUGUGAUAACAGGAGAUUCCAUACAUUUUCGUUACAAUAGUCGGCAUCUCGUCAUGUACCUUUCAGCAAUACAUCCGCGAACCCAAGCGUGCACUCCAUAAGUACUUUUUUUUGUUAAAUGCUUAUUUAUUAUAUAAUGUUAUAUAAAUGACAUUAUGACAAUGUUUACCAUCAUACUUAAACAUAGCUGACUUUUACGACGAAGGAGAAAGACUGGUCGCCUAUAGCAACCACUAUAACCUACUCCCUCCGUUCCUAAAUAUAAGUCUUUUUAAGAGAUUUCACUAGGGGUCUAUAUACGGAGCAAAAUGAGUGAAUCUACACUCUAUAGUAUGUCUAUAUGCCCAUUAGUGGAACCUUUAGAAAGACUUAUAUUUAGGAACGGAGGGAGUAAAUAACAUGCAUGCAAGUCGAAGCAUGCACCAGAUUCUACACAGGUGGAAGCUUACCCGGCAUAGAUCCAUAUAUAGUCUUGCUGGUGCAAACAUACGCGAUCAUCAUAUGAUUAGCAGUUAUAUUUACUUAUCUUAAAUAUAUUUACUGCAGAUGACCGUAAUAAAAAAAAUCAUUGGAUUUAACAAAUUUCAGGUUCUACAGAGGCCAACAGUUGGGAGGCUUGGGUUCCAACACUACGGUACUAUCUGGUUGGAAAUGAGUAGGCGAACAUUCCAACCAGGUCAUAGUGAGUACCAUAUUAGAAGUGAUGGGCGCCUAUAAAUCGACGGGGUUGCAUGGAGAUUUUGAAGUGUGGGUUCUAAUCCUUGUUGCACGUGAUGGUAGACCAUGAGAUUUAGAAUUCUAUCACAAAAUAGAGAGGAAUUAAGUUCUGAUGAAUCGGAUGACGACUCGGACGAUCAAGAGGACAACAAAUAAGAGGAAUAGGAACAUUUAUUUGUUUCACUUAAUAUGCAUAUUUUUAUUCUUCCAUUCUAUAUAAUAAUUUUAUUUUUAAUAAAUAUAGUUUGAACAAUUUGAAGUUGGUACUACUUUAGCUGUUUUGAUGUUUGAUUUCAUGUUUGCAUCGACAUUUGCAAAAAUAACUGUGCAACUAUUAACUACAAGUUCACGCAUCAAAUUAACAGUUGUACUACUACCCUGGCGGUAAUUAUUUUGGAUGAACGUUCAACAGUCUCAACUAAACCAUGGAUUACACUAAGUAAACCAAUGCCUUUUAAUCCA
RNAcentral lists this long non-coding RNA (4693 nucleotides) under Hordeum vulgare. RNAcentral's name for it is "long non-coding RNA (HVUL_LNC008104)". Lineage: Eukaryota; Viridiplantae; Streptophyta; Magnoliopsida; Poales; Poaceae. The record is from RNAcentral.